Molecule: long non-coding RNA, 1458 nt
Filed under: Homo sapiens (human)
Lineage: Eukaryota; Metazoa; Chordata; Mammalia; Primates; Hominidae
Description: non-protein coding lnc-ZDHHC13-1:2
Source: RNAcentral
AGUACUCAGCUCAGCAAAUGCCCCAGUGUCUUUGGAAUCCUUACAACUAGAAGCCUGCUUUAUCUUUUUUUUUUUUUUUUUUUUUAAAGGAGAAAUGGCUUGAGAAAGACAUGUUGAAGAGGAAAAAUACGUUAAGCAGCACAGAGAUUUCUUAAUUGCUUGAAGUACAGGCCCAGGCAUAGAAUUGGAUUUGGUUACCACUUGCCAACUGUCUUAGAAUCUGAAGACUCCAGCUCUAGUUCCCGACUCUGACACCUACUAGCUCUGCAACUUUACGGAAACCACUUACCUCUCUGAGCCUCAGUUUCCUCCUCUGUGAAAUGGGCUGGUAAUAUCUAUGGCAUAAACACUUCAUUGAUGGUAUGGGACCAGCUGAGGCUACAAGUGUAAAAAUAUUGUUUGAAAAUGUUAAUUGCUAUUUGAUUAUAAGGACAUAGUCUUAUUAAUAUGAUCAAAUCUCUUGCUAGCUUAUUGGUUUUCAUAGUAGGAGAUGUCACUUGCUGUGCGAUCUUGGACAAGUCACUGAACUCCUCUGAGCUGCACUCGUCUCCCCUGUAACAUGGGGAGUGUAGACUUGAUUACUUAAAUCUCCCGACAUCGUACAAGUCUAUGCUGAUGCCGAGCUUUCCUUGAAAACUGGAAAAAGCACAGGCUUUGAAGUGUGAUGGACUGGGGUUAAUCCCCUGCUUCACAGCUUGCUUUCUUUUUGUCUCUCUGUACCCAUAAGGAUUAUCUCAGAAUGAUCUGGGUAUUUUUGAAAAGUAACAGCAGCUUGGCUGAAAGACAAUUUUGUCCAUAAUAAGACAUCAGCUGUGAGCAGAGUUCUGCAGUGGCAGAAAACGGAUCAGGCAGAGAUUCAGGUUAUAAUUUCCAAACUCCAGUGGCCCACUUGGUAGAACCAGUUUGCAUUUGUAUGUUGAAUUUUUGUUGACUAAAUAACAGUGAUCCAAGAGCUGAGAUGGUUUAUUGGUCCUCUUGGGGAGGGCUGUAUUGCUGUCAAGGUGUGGAUAAAGCAUUUCAGGCAGGCCUGCCGCUGGCCCCUGGCCCAGUGGUGUACAGCUGUGUCAAUAGGCCUUUGAAGUCCACGCACACCAGCUGACUGGUCAGCAGCCCCUGGGAUGGUCUCUACAACCUUCGUCACAGGAAAUUGGGAAAGGCAUGUGGAAGCUAGCAUUGCUGGAAGGGGAGGAGAAGAAAACUGUUGGGAUCUUUGAUGAAAACAUGGGAGAAAUUUACCAAAAUUCACAGGCUGAGCCCAUCAGCAGGAUCUGGGAUUGUUGAUCACUGCUCUCCUUCUUUCUGGCUCCAGAUCAAUGUGAUGAGCUGGUUUAUCUUUAUUCUGACUCGAAUAUGUGCCAGCUAGCGCUUCUGUGAGGCCUCAGUAUAGUGAUAGUAUGCUGGAGGCGCUGGUGGUGCUGCAAGAUUCACAGAGAGCUUCUGAAUCAUUAAAACGUGAAC